This 460-nucleotide ribosomal RNA is filed under the name uncultured bacterium. Its description in RNAcentral is "partial 16S ribosomal RNA". It matches the Rfam family "Bacterial small subunit ribosomal RNA", at positions 338 to 795 of the family's 1533-position model. The record is from RNAcentral.
CCUACGGGAGGCAGCAGUGAGGAAUAUUGGUCAAUGGACGAGAGUCUGAACCAGCCAAGUCGCGUGAGGGAUGACUGCCCUAUGGGUUGUAAACUUCUUUUAUAUGGGAAUAAAAUGUUCCACGUGUGGGAUUUUGUAUGUACCUUAUGAAUAAGGAUCGGCUAACUCCGUGCCAGCAGCCGCGGUAAUACGGAGGAUCCGAGCGUUAUCCGGAUUUAUUGGGUUUAAAGGGUGCGUAGACGGGUUGUUAAGUCAGCUGUGAAAGUCUGCGGCUCAACCGUAGAAUCGCAAUUGAUACUGGCAGUCUUGAGUACAGGUGAGGUAGGCGGAAUGCGUGGUGUAGCGGUGAAAUGCUUAGAUAUCACGCAGAACUCCGAUUGCGAAGGCAGCUUGCUAAACCGCCACUGACGUUGAUGCUCGAAAGUGUGGGUAUCAAACAGGAUUAGAUACCCGUGUAGUC